Molecule: non-coding RNA, 45 nt
Filed under: Trichobilharzia regenti
Lineage: Eukaryota; Metazoa; Platyhelminthes; Trematoda; Strigeidida; Schistosomatidae
Source: RNAcentral
GUACUACUGAAGAGUCCCAAACUAGGACGAAAAGCUGUCCAGUAC